This 528-nucleotide small RNA is filed under the name Drosophila pseudoobscura pseudoobscura. Its description in RNAcentral is "GA31393". Lineage: Eukaryota; Metazoa; Arthropoda; Insecta; Diptera; Drosophilidae. The record is from RNAcentral.
GCUUAUCCCAGGCUGAAUGGCAAAUUAACAGUAAGCUUAGUAGCCCGUCAGAAGCAACAAAAACCACAAAACAAUUAUUUUCCUGUUUUUUUUUACUUUUCCCGAAACAAAAAAUCGCGACGAAAAUCAAAAAAUCUGAAUAAAUUCCCAAGUUGAUAAGUAUGUGUUAAUUAAUCAGCCUUACAAAGUAAUGUUUUUAUUUUUGCGGUGCUAAAGUUAAAAGGAAUAAAGUACUGAAAAGUGCAUAAUUAGAUGUGUGUGUUGGUGUAUCCCUAGGUGCAUAUGUGUGUGCGUACUCAAUAUACAAUUUGAGCUCCAAAACCAGUUCUCGGAAGCAGGAAACUGUAAACAAGAAACACACUCAAACUGAAGACGACUCGCCGGCCCGGCUCUCACUUGCAUUUUUGUGUUCGUUUUGCUCCCCCAAUUUGUGUUUCUCGCUGCACGCCCCACGCCACGCCCCAACCCCCCCGGUUCUAUGCGUCUGGCCUAAACAGCAGCCACAGCCACACAGCAACAACGUUAACA